RNAcentral lists this long non-coding RNA (498 nucleotides) under Pongo abelii (Sumatran orangutan). RNAcentral's name for it is "lincRNA". Lineage: Eukaryota; Metazoa; Chordata; Mammalia; Primates; Hominidae. The record is from RNAcentral.
GGUCUGGGGCUCUCUUCCCAGAGAGCUCGUAGGGGAGGACAGUCAAGGGACUCAAGCGUCUCUCUUGACUCCCCUUCUCUCGCUGUGCAGUGGCGGUGCCGAGGGGCCGACGCUCAGGGCUAAUCUCUAUCAGUCACCCUCGAGGCCCCGGGUAAUAUUGGGUGGAUCACAAGAACUAAUCUUUCAUGAUUUGGAAACUGGAAGGAAAGAAGCACUUUUGUAGCUGACUCACCUCAAUGGCAUGACCAGUGUCUGAGCCUACAACUGCGCUACCUUCUCUGGAUUUUUCUUCACCUUUUCCUCAUUCACGAGCCAGGACCCAUGUGGGCAGAGAGGAGAGUUCUCACCUGGAGUUCAGCAUGGUGGACUUGGGCCGCAGCCGUGGCCACCUGGUCCUCCAGAUCCGCCAGAUGGGUCUCAUCAGUGCCGCUGUGGAUGCAGCGGGCGGCAUCUUCUAGCUCAGUCAGCUGGGUCUCCAGUCCAUACACAGUGCCUGCU